UUGGUCUUUGUCUUCUUCCAAAGAAUAAUAGAAUAAUAGAUCCUCUUCAAGAAAGUAAUCUGUAUACACAGACACUUUCUUCUUCACCAAGAGAAAAAAAAACACGAUCUGGUCUUCAAUCGAUCAAGACUUUGAUUUGUAUAGGAGUUCGAUGAAAGAAAAAAAAAGACUCCGGUGGCCCAACCGGCGAGAGCAGCAGCGACGAACCGGUGGCGGCGGGAUUGUCGAGCAGCGGCGGUCAGGAGACCGCGGAGGCGAGGAACAGGCGGCGAUGAACCGGCAACUGGGUUCAAUCGGAACCCAAGUUUGCGAUUUCAAGAUACAAGAUGAAUCUCUUAUAUAGAGAUUAAAUUGGAAUUUGUCAAACAAGGAAAUUAAUGCAGAAGAAGAAGUGGAUCAAGCACAGUUGUCUUCCGCCACUUCUUUUGACAGGCCACAAAACAUGUUGCAGGUUUCCCACAUGUUUUCUGUCACUACUUUUGACAAACCACAAGAGUGGCUUCACACUGGACACAUAAAGAAUACGCUCCUCAAGAAAGCAGCGUUUAUGCAUUGAUGGGAAAGAUAUAUAAAAAACGCCUUAUAUACGACAUGUCCAUGCUUCAUUUUGGUCGAGCUUUGGAUUUGAAGCCUACUGCAACCGAUGUUGCUACUAUCAUGGUCAAAUUCUCUUCUCUCAAAGAUGUAACUGACUAACUGUAUAUUAGAUAAAGUGAUUUAGGAGGUUCUACUAUAUUUUAUAUUUCUCAUAGGCUGCCAUUAAGAAAUUACAUGUAGCUGAUGAAUUAGAAGAUAACUUCAAGUGCUAUUGACAGAAGUGAGUUUGAUUCUCUUCUAAAGCUAUAUAUAGAAGCCGAUGCAGUUCAAGAGAAAGCAAGAACUCUGAGUUAUAUAGCGUCUUCUCCGGACCCAGAUAUAGUCAAAGAGGCGUUAGACCUCAUCUUAAAUGAUGAGAAUCGAGAACAAGACACGGUAUAUGUAACUGCACGGAUGAGCUUGGAAGGCCGUGAAACAGCAUGGAUAUGGCUAAAACCGUAAAAUCAUACAUAAAUUAAAAUUUUUCUGAUACAUGUAUUCUGUAAUUAGUGUUAAAACUGCCUUAAUGGGUAUCAAUUUAGAAAAGAGGGUGUAUAUAUGAUUGUAGUUUGUUUUCCCCAUGAUCAGUUUUUGAUUAUAUGCUGAACAGUAAAUACUUUUCUGGUUUGUAUUCUCUUUUCAGGAGAACUGGGAUGUGAUUGUAAAGUGGUGGGAUCAAGGGAUGGUGUUCCAUCGUUUCAAUAGAGAUAUAGUGACACCGUUUAGCAGCGAUGAGAUGGCAGAACAGGUGGAAGAGUUUUUUAGUAACCGAGUAACUCCUUCGUUUGUUAGGAUCUUGAAACAAAGCAUAGAAAAAAUCCAAAUCAAAGCCAGAUGGAUUGAUAAAAUUAGGCAGGAGGAAUCUCUUAUACCGAGGUUGACCAGAGGAUUGACCAGAACUCCAGUGGAAACAUAAUAACAAGACCCAAACCAUUGGAUCCUUGUCAUGCUUUUGUUCUGUAUUAAACACACCCCUAUACAUGUGUGUGUAUGAUGUAUGUAUAUUUUGUAUCCAUAACGCUUUUUGAGUCCUCUGUUAACAAUAACAUCACCUAAAAGCUCAACAUAGAUGUAUGUAAUGUAACAUAAUCGAUAAACGCUAUUUUCUAGA
This is a long non-coding RNA of Helianthus annuus (common sunflower), 1687 nucleotides long. RefSeq lists it as uncharacterized. The record is from RefSeq and is a predicted model, not a curated record. NCBI's taxonomy places the organism in Eukaryota, Viridiplantae, Streptophyta, Magnoliopsida, Asterales, Asteraceae. The transcript is spliced from 5 exons.